CGCCCCAAAUCGGAAGUGACGGAGACGAGCUAGCGCGUCGAAGAUACCUCUAUGGUUUUCCUCCCGUUCUUGAGUCGGGAAAUGGCCGCUGUGUAGUUACAACGGAGAUAAGUCCCGGGAACGGUGCUUUCGGCGUUUCAGGAAUUUGAAUUUAGAGUUUAAUUUCUCAGAACAUUUUCUCCAGGAAGAACUUUACAGUAUCUUAAAGACUUCACUUGACUGUUUAAUCCUGCAUAAAACCCAAGGAGAAAAGAAAUGGGUCGCUCCAAUUCUAGAUCACAUUCUUCAAGAUCAAAGUCUAGAUCACAGUCUAGUUCUCGAUCAAGAUCAAGAUCGCAUUCUAGAAAGAAGAGAUACAGUUCUAGGUCUCGUUCCAGGACAUACUCAAGAUCUCGUAGUAGAGAUCGUAUUUAUUCUAGAGAUUAUCGCCGAGAUUACAGAAAUAAUAGAGGAAUGAGACGACCUUAUGGGUACAGAGGAAGGGGCAGAGGGUAUUAUCAAGGAGGAGGAGGUAGAUAUCAUCGAGGUGGUUAUAGACCUGUCUGGAAUAGAAGACACUCUAGGAGUCCUAGACGAGGUCGUUCACGUUCCAGGAGUCCAAAAAGAAGAUCCGUUUCUUCUCAAAGAUCCCGAAGCAGAUCUCGCCGGUCAUACAGAUCUUCUAGGUCUCCAAGAUCAUCCUCUUCUCGUUCUUCAUCCCCAUAUAGCAAAUCUCCUGUCUCUAAAAGACGAGGGUCUCAGGAAAAACAAACCAAAAAAGCUGAAGGGGAGCCCCAAGAAGAGAGUCCUUUGAAAAGUAAAUCACAGGAGGAGCCGAAAGAUACAUUUGAACAUGACCCAUCUGAAUCUAUUGAUGAGUUUAACAAAUCAUCAGCCACAUCUGGUGAUAUUUGGCCUGGCCUCUCAGCUUAUGAUAAUAGUCCUAGAUCACCUCAUAGUCCUUCACCGAUUGCUACACCACCUAGUCAGAGUUCAUCUUGCUCUGAUGCCCCCAUGCUCAGUACAGUCCACUCUGCAAAAAACACCCCCUCUCAGCAUUCACAUUCCAUUCAGCAUAGUCCUGAAAGGUCUGGGUCUGGUUCUGUUGGAAAUGGAUCUAGUCGGUACAGUCCUUCUCAGAAUAGUCCAAUUCAUCAUAUCCCUUCACGAAGAAGCCCUGCAAAGACAAUCACACCACAGAAUGCUCCAAGAGAUGAGGCUAGGGGACGUUCUUCAUUUUAUCCUGAUGGUGGAGAUCAGGAAACUGCAAAGACAGGAAAAUUCUUAAAAAGGUUCACAGAUGAAGAGUCUAGAGUAUUCCUGCUUGAUAGGGGUAAUACCAGGGAUAAAGAGGCUCCAAAGGAGAAAGGAUCAGAGAAAGGGAGGGCAGAGGGAGAAUGGGAAGACCAGGAAGCGCUAGAUUACUUUAGUGAUAAAGAGUCUGGAAAACAAAAAUUUAAUGAUUCAGAAGGGGAUGACACAGAGGAGACAGAGGAUUAUAGACAGUUCAGGAAGUCAGUCCUUGCAGAUCAGGGUAAAAAUUUUGCUACUACAUCUCACCGGAAUACUGAGGAGGAAGGACCCAAGUACAAGUCCAAAGUUUCAUUGAAAGGCAAUAGAGAAAGUGAUGGAUUUAGAGAAGAAAAAAAUUAUAAACUUAAAGAGACUGGCUACGUAGUGGAAAGGCCUAGCACUGCAAAAGAUAAGCACAAGGAAGACGACAAAAGUUCUGAGAGAAUAACAGUAAAGAAAGAAACUCAGUCACCUGAGCAGGUAAAGUCUGAAAAGCUCAAAGACCUCUUUGAUUACAGUCCCCCUCUACACAAGAAUCUGGAUGCACGAGAAAAGUCUACCUUCAGAGAGGAGAGCCCACUUAGGAUCAAAAUGAUAGCCAGUGAUUCUCAUCGUCCUGAAGUCAAACUCAAAAUGGCACCUGUUCCUCUUGAUGAUUCUAACAGACCUGCUUCCUUGACUAAAGACAGGCUACUUGCUAGUACACUUGUCCAUUCUGUCAAGAAGGAACAAGAAUUCCGAUCCAUCUUUGACCACAUUAAGUUGCCACAGGCCAGCAAAAGCACUUCAGAAUCUUUUAUUCAACACAUUGUGUCCUUGGUUCAUCAUGUUAAAGAGCAAUACUUCAAAUCAGCUGCAGUGACCCUAAACGAGAGGUUCACUUCGUAUCAGAAAGCCACCGAAGAACAUAGUACCAGGCAAAAGAGCCCUGAGAUACACAGGAGAAUUGACAUCUCUCCAAGUGCCCUGAGGAAGCAUACUCGUUUAGCAGGGGAAGAGAGAGUUUUUAAAGAAGAAAAUCAAAAGGGAGAUAAAAAAUUAAGGUGUGAUUCUGCUGAUCUUCGGCAUGACAUUGAUCGUCGGAGAAAAGAAAGAAGUAAAGAACGGGGGGAUUCCAAGGGCUCCAGGGAAUCCAGUGGAUCAAGAAAGCAGGAAAAAACUCCAAAAGAUUACAAGGAAUACAAAUCUUACAAAGAUGACAGCAAAAAUGUAUUUGUCUUUUACACGGCUUAUGGUGGAUGAGGACAAAAACUUUGGAAUAGCAAGCUAACACUGAAAAAAAAAAUGACAAAUUAAUGUGUCCUAUUAUCCAGGCUACAUCAGGAGGUUGGACUUCAAUGCAGUGCAUUUCUAGAAACAGUUUGUUAAACAUAAAAGUAGAGAGCAAGAUCAUUCUCGAUCUUCAUCCUCUUCAGCAUCGCCUUCUUCUCCCAGUUCUCGAGAAGAAAAGGAGAGUAAGAAGGAAAGAGAAGAAGAAUUUAAAACUCACCAUGAACUGAAAGAAUACUCAGGCUUUGGAGGAGUUAGCCGACCACGAGGAACCUUUUUUCGAAUUAGAGGCAGAGGAAGAGCCAGAGGAGUUUUUGCUGGGACAAAUACUGGUCCAAACAACUCAAAUACUACUUUUCAAAAGAGACCGAAGGAAGAGGAAUGGGAUCCAGAAUAUACCCCAAAGAGCAAGAAGUACUUCUUGCAUGAUGACAGAGAUGAUGGUGUGGAUUAUUGGGCCAAAAGAGGAAGAGGUCGUGGUACUUUUCAACGUGGCAGAGGGCGCUUUAACUUCAAAAAAUCAGGUAGCAGUCCAAAAUGGACUCAUGACAAAUACCAAGGGGACGGGAUUGUUGAAGAUGAAGAAGAGACCAUGGAAAAUAAUGAAGAAAAGAAGGACAGACGCAAAGAAGAAAAGGAAUAGUAAAUCUGAAGUGAGAUUGCAACAGAGAGCAGAACUUGCACCCACCAUUUUUUACCUGAUUUUUGUUUUCAAAUAAGAAUGUAAGCAUUUUACUUAAAUUUUACUGUUUGCAAGUAGUCAAUAGAAAUUUUGUUUUAAGUCUUCAAAUACCUUGAAAAAUAGUAGACUGUAUGUUGAAAAUUGUACCGAAAUAAAGUAGAAAAUUGUUACGUACCAUAUUUGUAACUAUCAACUUUUAAAAAAUACUUUUACUGUUUUUGUUACAUGCAUUGUAAUUCGCUUUGUCUAUAAGAUAUGGUCAAGUACAGCUCUGUGAAAGUUCUGAUUCUCUUCCUUCCCUGUUUGUUAAUGUUUAUUCUGAAGUAAACGUUAGCUCUACAUACAAAUCCCCGAACAGAAGUUGUUUAUAGAGACCACACUAAUUAUUUUAACCGUAUACAUCUGUUUAACAUUCUCCUUAAUUCACAAACUACAUUGUAGGGUGACUAAUUUUUGAGGUGUACCACAGAAAAGGUUUUUACUUUGGUAAACUAAGCUAGUUAACAUGUCAGCAGAUGUUUAAGAGGAAAAAAAAGCUUUACCAAUAGCUAAAAAGUACAAGCUAUUUAAAAGAUCCAAAAGUAUGAGGUUUUUUUCUUUUUUUUUUUUUUAACUGAAAGCAAACAGUGGCCUACAAAAACUAUUAGGAUCCUUUACUUUUUGGGCUCAAAAAAAGUUCUCUUUCUAUUCUUAUUUGAAAGUUUGAGUCAUGGUCUUAGAUAUCAGCUAAUUUUUUUGAGAGAGGAACUGGUCUGUAGUAAUACAAAUAAAAAAUCCAUUCCUACCAAAUGUAUUACUUUUAAAAAAAUAAAACAGAAUAAAACCUGUAAUCUUGGUCUUGGUAUGGAAGAGGAUUAUGCUGCAGAAUAACUUGAUACAUUAGAAAGAUGUACCUGAUUUCAUAUCUUACAUAUUUAUUUGAGCUUCUGGACAGCUGAAACAUUAGUUUGUAGUCUAACCAUAAGGAAAAAUAGGCAAACAAAACAUACUGUUCAUUAGUAGUAUUUUAAGUAAUUUGUUUUUCAAUAAAAAGUUUUGACAGGAAGUUUGUUGCAGCAUUGUCUAACUUGGUUUUACUUUUUUCCCUAUAAAAUGGCUUUCUUUUUCUUCCCAAGGGUUCUAUUCUUCAGGUAGAUAAUCUUUCAGAUGUGAAUUACCUUUAUGUUUAUGCUGAUAGCUCUUAAGAUGAAAAUCCGAAAUAGUAAAUUUCAGUGUUUGUCUGCUCUAUGAGCAUAUAUAAAAGUAGUCAAAUUUCAUUUGUUAAUUCAGCAACCAAAUUAGUUGUAUAUGUUUGCAUUAAAAGGAGGUAAUGCUUAUUCUUUUAGUGUAAACUUUCAGAGAUCUUAAGUACAUGGAUCUUUCGUCCUCACUUGAUGAUUUGCAGUGCUCCUAGCACCUUGAUUGCAGCCAGGGGCAUUUGCUAAGAACUGUAAGAGGGAAAAAUAUGAAAAAAAAAAACCUCAAUAUAUGUGAUGUGUAUGGCCCUGGGAUCUUUAUUGCAUGAUUUCUCCUAUCUUGUCUUUUCUGAAAUUGUUACAGAGCAGAGGAAAUACUGUUAAAGCAAGUUUGUUAUUGCAUUAAUCAGGACACAGCUAAUUUCUUCUAGUCAGAAUAAUAAUUACAUGCUAAAGCAACAUGGAUUUAAUCUUCAACACAGUUCUCGAGAAUUUUCACAACCAUUUUAUUUUAUACAAAUAAAUUUAGCUUUUAUUUUAACAGUUACUAUUUAGUUAGAUACUGAAUCUCUGUGCAUGACUAUAAAUGUGCAGUUUUGUUUUUCCACUUAAGACAAUAGAAUGGGAAUUUGCUGAGAAAUUAUUUAAUAGGGAGUGGGAAUAAAGCUCCCUAGGUCCUAUCAGCAAGUUAUAUUUUAAAUGCAAAUGCAUUGCUUUAACCCAAAUAGAUACCUGAUUUGGUUGCUUUUAUUCUAUUAAAAUUCAGGAAAGGAUUAUACCAGAAUUUAGUAGGAAGGGUGAUAGAACUCUGCAAUAGGAUUCCAUUGUGGAUGUUACCUGUUUCAGAGCCAAGCAUAUGAAAGCCUGUGUUGUGUUUUUUUAAGCCACAAUUUAAGUCCACACUUUACAACAUACUAUAAAGCUGAAUGGUUCCUCUUGGUAAGGAAUUUUGUUAACAAAUGCCAGAAAAUAAUAACUCUUUGAUACCUACAUUAACAGACUUCCUUUUGCCUAGAGAAGGAAAAUAAAAGUGAACCAAAGGAUAUUUCCAGAAAGGAUUAAGAAAGCUGUUUAAGAAGGCCAUGACUCAGUCCUUAGGUGUGUAUACCUUUCAACAUCCUAGGAAUUUUAAUAUAAAAUAGCAAAAUAUGUUUUUCCAAUUGCAUCCAACUUUAAGGAAUUACUAUUUGUUCCUUUUGUCACAGUUAAAAUCAAGUGUUGGGAAUUAAAUUAUAAUUUGAGUAAAAAUAUUACCCAAUACGAAUGAAUGUAGAUGGCUAAACGAUUCUUACUCAGUGUGAUGUAUAUUGCAACAGGGACCCUUGUAAAUUGUCAUAUGCCAAUAAAAUGUCAUUAAGUGGUAAU
Leptonychotes weddellii (Weddell seal) is the source of this 5763-nucleotide non-coding RNA. NCBI's taxonomy places the organism in Eukaryota, Metazoa, Chordata, Mammalia, Carnivora, Phocidae. The record is from RefSeq and is a predicted model, not a curated record.